AACGAACGCUGGCGGCAUGCCUAACACAUGCAAGUCGAACGAGACCUUCGGGUCUAGUGGCGCACGGGUGCGUAACGCGUGGGAACCUGCCCUUAGGUUCGGAAUAACUCCCCGAAAGGGGUGCUAAUACCGGGUAAUGUCCUCGGACCAAAGAUUUAUCGCCUUUGGAUGGGCCCGCGUUGGAUUAGCUAGUUGGUAGGGUAAAAGCCUACCAAGGCGACGAUCCAUAGCUGGUCUGAGAGGAUGAUCAGCCACACUGGGACUGAGACACGGCCCAGACUCCUGCGGGAGGCAGCAGUGGGGAAUAUUGGACAAUGGGCGAAAGCCUGAUCCAGCAAUGCCGCGUGAGUGAUGAAGGCCUUAGGGUUGUAAAGCUCUUUUACCCGGGAUGAUAAUGACAGUACCGGGAGAAUAAGCUCCGGCUAACUCCGUG
This 433-nucleotide ribosomal RNA is filed under the name uncultured bacterium. RNAcentral describes it as "partial 16S ribosomal RNA". It matches the Rfam family "Bacterial small subunit ribosomal RNA", at positions 29 to 507 of the family's 1533-position model. The record is from RNAcentral.